Molecule: long non-coding RNA, 788 nt
Filed under: Trifolium pratense (red clover)
Lineage: Eukaryota; Viridiplantae; Streptophyta; Magnoliopsida; Fabales; Fabaceae
Description: long non-coding RNA (TPRA_LNC008819)
Source: RNAcentral
GGUGUGAAAAUAAUUGUGUUAUGUUAAUUAAUCAUCAUCAAUUGUUAUAUCAUUAUGUGAAAUUAUUGUUGUUUUAUCAUUAGGAAUGAUAUUAAAGGGUGAAUUGAUGAAAAAAUGAUUUUUUUUGUUGUUGUUGUCUAAUUUGUGAUUCAAUAAUUCCAAGAUGUAGUUACAAGAAUGAGAUAACAUAACAAAAUUAUGAAUUAUCAUUGGAUAUGUAAUGUGAGCUUAAAAUAAGCCACCGGGUUUGGUCUGGUGGUGAGGGAUUUGGGUAGUAUGCAUCUGGUAGUAAGUUCAAUCCUCGUUGCCAACAUUGUAAACAAAAAAAAAAAUGUGAGCUUAAAAUUGGUUUACAUAGAAGGUGCAUUCACUUUGGUCUUAAUUAACCCUCUGAUUCAUAUGGGAAGGGGUUUGGUAAUCCGAAGUUUCGGUCUGGAGGUAAGUAAAUUCUUGUCAAGAAUUAUCCUGAAGGUUCUUAAAUGGAGUUCAUCAACCGCUCGAGCUCAAUCAAAGGAUUAUAUUACCUUUAAAUUCAAAUUAUUAAGAAUAUAUGUUUCAAAACUAAAUUGCUUGAGUGUAUUUUAAUGUGAGUUUUCAUUGGUGAAUGAGCUUUUAGAGUUUGUGGAUUGUUGUGGAUUAAGGCUCUCUGAUUAGGUAGCUAUGUAGCCCGUUUGCCUUCAACUUUGCAGCCUAGGAAAAAUAGUUUGACAUAACUUUGGCAGUUUAGUUUUAUCAAUACUGGGCUAUAGCCUAUAGCGCCACUAUAAUGGGGGAGUAGAAGUGCCAAU